Molecule: non-coding RNA, 6865 nt
Organism: Punica granatum (pomegranate)
Lineage: Eukaryota; Viridiplantae; Streptophyta; Magnoliopsida; Myrtales; Lythraceae
Source: RefSeq, a predicted model, not a curated record
GCCAAAAGUUAUUUUGACCUCUUUUUUGAAAGAUGUUGGCUUUGGGGCUUUGGUAGGUGUCGAGCCGAAUUAGAAGUAGGGCCUUCCAUGGGAUCUCAGGCAGACCAUACAGGAAGCUGUAUUGAGGCUUGAGCUACAGCUAACGUGCGGUGGAGAGGACCGCAUUUCUAUCUUUCAUUUAUAUUUUACCCAAUAGAGAAAGAAAAAAAGGAAAAAAAAAAAAAAAAAACUCAAUCGGCCUUUGCUCCCGGAGAGGCACGCCGGUGGUGGCCGAACGCCAGCCGCCGCCCCCUCCCUGGUUGAACGUGAAGCCGAUGGUUUGGCCGUUGUCUCUUUCAUGUUCGACAUGCAGACACAUACAAACACGACCUUCCUGGAUCUCUGCUUGUUCGCAUCAAAGCUAGGAAAUGUUUGCUUCGCUUUCUGUUCUUCUGAUGGAGCUCCCCCGGCUCCGGCAUCGACAAGGUGAGCUGUUUGACGAGGCUGUGAUGAUAAAUGGCGGAAGAGAAAUUAAGAGUAAUCAGGCCGAAAAUCAGAGAACUGUCCGUAUCUUGGCGUGGUCGCUCUGGGGGAGAGCUGCAGCCAUGGCGGGGUUCCUUUCCUGUCGAUUUGCCUGAGGAAAUAUCGAUCUGAGCCUCUUCUUAGGAUUUGCUUUAAGUGGGCGUUUGGUAGCAUUAGCUCUGAUUUGCAGGUGGUGAUGUGAUUAUUGAUGUACUUUGGUCACCUGCCUCCUGUGCUGGAAUCCUUCAUCAUUUGAUCAAGCAUGUAAUCGUGCGUGCAAACUGAAGCAUUAUCUGCAAAUGACGAGUAUCCCCCAUUCCGAUAUCAAAAUGGCAAUCUUCGAGUCUUUGAUGGUUACAUGUAUUGAAAUGGAAAUGUGAGGUAAUAUCCUCAGGGAAGUGGCCGUUCUUGGCUUGGCGAUGCUGGAGCAUCUCGCAGCCAUCGCGGGGUUCCAUCUUCGGUUCCUCAGUUUCCCUUUGUAAAAAUACCACCAAUAAGAGCUUUUCUAAAUACAAUUUACCACUUAGAAGAAAUGCUGUCAUCCACAAGCUUCCUUCCAGCAAAUCUUUAGUUUGUUUCGCAGCUCAAUUUGCUGCUCAUUGUAAGCUCAAUUUUUUUAAAAAUGUAGCUCUACCUCUGGAUAAGCUGCUGGCAUUUCAACUCCGAAAAAACAAAUCACGUGUUUUGAGGGUAACUUCAAAUUUGAACUUUUGAAAGUUAAGAAAAACCACUUCUUUUCCCCCCUAACCUAGUUUAUGAUAACUAUGGUUAUGAUGAUAAUGAUAAUGAUAAUGAUGAUGACGAUGGUGGUGGUGAGGAGGAGGAGGAUGAUAGUUGUUCAUGAUACUUUGUGAUGCGUAUUCACUUUGUUGUCACCUGAGUACGUUACAAUUUAGUCCAUGGUUUGGCUGUGGCUGAUGGCGUCAGACAGAGUUCAAGGGGGUUUUGCUCUCGGUGGGGGCAUGGCAGCUUACACUAUUAUCCGAACUGAUGGAGCAUAUGAUCUCUGAAACUCUUGAUUAUGAGCCUGUCAUGAUUCAGGAAGAAAACUAAAAUUAUGAGUGAAAUAUAGUGAACUGCCUAUAUCUUGGCCAAGCAGCUCUCAUCGAUGAAUUGCAGCCAUGGCAGUAUUCUUCCCUCCUUUCUGAUGCUGCUGCUCCUCUUCCUCCUCCACCUCCCAUAGAACUGGCUUUGCUCCCAGAGAAGCUGGCAGCUGUCUGUUUUACUUCCAUUGGUGGCCUCCUGCACCCAACAGGUAGCUGCCCUUCUCUGGUUAGAGACGGAGCCAAUGAUGAAUUCUUGGGAAUUUGAUUCUUUCUAAAUAUCCAAUUUUCAAAAUCUGGCCAGAUUUCUCUGGUACCUGAGAACAAUGGAACAAUGGACCAAUGGGAACAUAUAUUAUGUAUGGAUAUUUUUUAUGUAUACUUCAACCGGGGAAAAAAAAUUCAACCUACUGAACUGGUAUAUUGCAGCUGCAAUUUGAUCAUUGUCAUCAAUCAUCGUUGUCUGCGUCUAUAUAUGUGAGGUUCAGCUCAAAUGCAUUUGCAUGAAAAAUGAGAAGAAACAUUGAGGAGGCUAUGAGGAUUUUUUGAGUAAAGAAAAUUAUCAGAAACUUUCUGGCACAGAGAGCUGUCCGUAGCUUGGCAUGGCAGCUAGAAAAUGCUGCAGCCAUGGCGGAGCUCCUUCAAUUGUCUGAUCAAAAUCUGAAUCUGAGCCUCUGAAAAGGAAAGUGUCGGGAGCUUUCUGAAGUCUCUCUUUGGUUAAGUACUUUUUUGGUCCGUAAAUUUUAGCCGGUUUUCCCUUUUUUUGGGUAAGUGUGAAGUGAAUGAGCAUUCGACAGGCUGAUCACUUUCAAUGGGGAACUUUGUAGCCGAGGAAAGUAUUGUAUGUACUGUAGCUUAGGUGCGUUACCCUGGACACCUUUAAGAGGGUUACUGGUGGCAGCUCAAUGAGCAGCCGCCUCCCCCCCCUUUGAACUAUGCGACCGGGGGCUGCACUUCUCUGGUUGGAGGUGGAGCUGAUGAUUUUUGAGGAACUUUGUUUUCUUCUUUGAUCAGUGGCUUCGCAAAAGGCGAAGCAUGCAGUGGAGGAUUGAAUUUACGACCUUGUGGGUUUUCAACAUUUCACCAACUCAACCCACUACACAAAAAAAAUACAUAUUUCCUAAGUCAAAAAUUUUAACUUUAACUCAACACACUACACAACAUUUGUCAUUUACCACAAUCAAAAUCAAAAUUAUUUUUACUCUGAAACCAAACGCAUUGGUAUAUUCUGUAAGAGUUGGAGCUCAAUGUUAUCUAUGAAGGGGUGACAGGGAAAUGGACCUGCCUGCUGCAUGGCAUGGUGGCUCCAAAAAGCUGCAGCCACAGCAAAGCUCCUUCUAUUUCUAUGAUCAAAAAUCAAAUGGAAGCCUCAGCAACUGAAAUUGGCUCUUUCUUGGCUCUUUCAGAAGGUGUCCCUGCUCCAGAGAUGCUGGCGGCUUUGUGUUCCUAUUAUUUGCCAAACAGUUGCCCUUCCCUAGUUUGUUCAUUAGUUUAAGAUUGAGGGUUUGCUCUUCGAAAAGGCCUUAAAGUGGCCAUCUUUAGUUGAUGGUGGAGGCCGGUUUAGAGAUCGUUAGAUUGCAAAUUUAGGCUUGAUUUGUAAUGUUGUUGCUUACGGGAAGUAGUACGCAUGUUAAAUUGUUGAGAAGUAAUCAUUGAUUUCAUGAAAAGCUAAAAUGUUUCUUGUGGACACUAAUUUGGAAUUGCUGAAAUCAAAUGUGGAUGAUCCCUUGAUUUUGAAUAUAUAGUAUAAGUAGAAAUAGUUUUCAUUGCAUCUGUUAAAAUGAUGAAAAACAGGAAAGUAUAUGUUGGGACCAUCCACUGCAUUCCCAAAAGUCUUAAACCUAUUUCCGGUACUGAAAGUUGGCUCAAGAAUUUUCUUCUUGUGAGAGUUUGAAAUAGCUAUAACUGAUUGUUUUAGAAGGUUAACCUUGUUAUAAAAAGCAUAAGCUUGAGAGAUGAAGAUGUGAAUUACAUUAUAGUAUACCUUAAUCUCAUCAUCAUCUUCAUCUCUGGCACCAAACAGGAGCUAUAAUCUGCUAUUUUUUCCCACAAAAAAAAAAACACCAAAGAGUACUAGAGUAAAAGGAUUUGCCAGGAUGAAAAAUUGGAAAGUUUGCAGUGACUUGGCAUGUCGUCUUCAUACAGCUGCAGCCAGAGCAGCUCCUCCUAUUGGCUGAACAAAGCUGAUCUCAGAGAGGCGCACGGUCUGGUCAACUGCUGCUGAUAAUACCCAACAGGCUGCUGUUGAUGAGAGAGACAAAGCAGGUGAUGCAGAGGCAAAGAAUAAUGCCGAGAACAAAGUGAUCAGUAAUCAGCACCUGGAAGCCGUUGAGAACUGAAGAGACGGAGCAAGCGUCUGAAACUCCUGAUGCCUAGUAGGACGGAGACUGUUGCGACUCAAAAGAUUGAGAAUGAAGCUCCUUCUUCUGCAAGGACCGAGACACCCUUAGAAUCAUUUAGACCAAACAUGAAUGUCUGGCUUGUAAAAGGUGGUGGGUCAGCAACUGAACCAGAAACAUCAGGACCAACGAUCCCUUGAGCUUCGGUAUCAUUAAUCUUCAGCGAUUCUUUCUCAUAAAUGAAAAAGAAUGAUUCAAAGGCUUUGAAUGGUUGUUUCGUGUGCCAUACACUACUUUGGGAACUAAGCCUCUACUAUACCUUUCUACAGAAGAGUUGCUUUGUAGAUUAUAGCAGUACUUUAGUGCCUUUUCUUAUGCUGUUUAUUGUACAUAAUAAUUGUUAACUCCAUAUAGUUACCUCUUUUGCUGUGAACUUGAGAGAGUGGUCCUUUAAUUCUUUCCCACUUCGGAAGGUCGAAGCCUGACAUGGAUGACGGAACAAGCAAUGCCUCCAUUUUUGUAGGGACAUGGACUAUGAUUCUGUUCGUCUUCCAGGUGCAGAUAUCUUUGGAGUUGUCAAGAAGUUUUUUAAAGGGAUCAAAGAGCAUGGGAGGACUAUUAUGACAGGUCUUUAGUGUCUGGUCCUCAGGUGAAUGCUCUCCUGCUUAUAGAGAUCGAUAAAUGGCUUGCUCCAAUGCUCUGUUGUAUGUAUAUAUGCUAAAUUCUUCCGUUUAUACACUUGUCUAUUUCGCGAUCCCAUGGGAACAAAGUUUUGGAGGUCUCAAAUGUAUUUUUUAGGGGUAAAGGGAUGAGAUUUUGCUUACAGUGGAGAGGAAUAGUUUGCUGCUUUCGUUUAUGGAGUUUUCCCCUUAAUGGUAAUACCUCUAACAAUUUGCUCUAGGACUGCCUCCACUCUUGGUCUGUUCAUCAUUCCAUGUUCGAAACAGCUUUCGAACUUCUCGACAUGAGCGGUGACAGCCUGAUUAGACUUAAGUGCCGAGGCACGUGAACAAGGAGACCCAACUGUGUUAACUGUUCUGACCGGGAAAAAAAAAUAAAAAUGUAGAAAAUUCGCGGGAUUUUUCUCAUGGCGUUCGUUGUAACUGUUCAAAUAUUGAGAUAAAUUUGAAAUUGACAGAAAAUAUAGGGACUUUUACGCAAUAAAUUUAUUCUCUAUUAUGAUUAGCCUCAGCUGCUAUGAGUGCUAAUAAAUAGCUUCAUCUGCUCGAAGCGGGGGGGGGGUCAAGGUUUUGGGUUGACUCGUACAGACGCACACUCCGCUAGGAAUGAGGCUUGUCUCUCUUCCCUGAGCUGAGCCCGUGAUUUCCCCCCGAACCCUAACCCUCUCUCUCUCUCUCUCUCUCUCUCUCUCUCUUUCUGUGACGAUCGGCUCGACAAUGGAUCGAACUGGAAAACUCUGAUUUUCCCAAAGAAAAUUGAUUUAUGGAAGUUGUGCGGUGAUGGGAACAGCAGCUCUGUCUCUGCUAUCUAUCUAUCGAUCUAUCUAGCUAUACAUCGAUACAUAUAUAUACACACACACACACACACAUAUAAAAGCUAGCUUUUUCAACAAUGCAUAUGGAAGCAGACCGGAUGGAAGAUCUAUCAUUUCUUUUUCUUUCUUUUUCUUUUCCAUGUUAUGCAAAAAUCGCCCCCUCGGGAGGACCUUAUCGGUUCUUCCGAACGCUGAAAUGGACGCUGGAACGAGGCUGUGAUGAUCAUAGGUUCAGGAGUGUGUGUGCAGGAUGCCGCCACCGGGGAAGGCGGCAGCAGUGGUUGGUUCCCUCAUGGCAAGGCAGUACCGGAUGGCUCGUGAGGUACAGAGAAAGGAAGAGAGAGAGAGAGAGAGAGAUGGAUCUAACCAUCUGGUUUUAUAAAAGCGGAAAAACUGCAAGUUCUUUUUACUCUCACGAGCAACCGGCCGCUGCAGCCAUGGCGGUUCCGCGACCGUCGACCCCCUUUUGGUUCGCCUGAAAGGUUAGAUCUGAGCCUUCCUCAACAUCACUAAUCUCCUUCGUUUGUGCAUGUGCUGAUUGUAGAUCUGGUGUCAUUCUUCUCAGCUAAAUCUGCCCAUUUUAAGAGCUCGGGCAAUAUUUUUGCCUCGGUUAGAACCUCGCUAGCUGCGUCCUUGCCCCAAUCAAAGAUCAAUCCAAUUAUGUUUUAGAAAGAUUUCGGCAUUCAUGGGUGAUUCCUGUAUCCUCGGUGGACUUCUAGAGAUCGGGAUUCCGAGUUUGAUACCUGUGGUGGGACUAUCGUGUUGCUGUGUUUCCCUUUCCCUUGAAAGUGUAACCGAAGAAUAAAAAGAGAGAGGAGGAGAUGGGAGGCGGCACAUGCUGAAUUGGCGUGUCAGUUUCAUCUCAUUUUCUCCUAUCAACGUGGGUUGGUGAAAGCGGUUCAACCCUUCAAGGUCUCGAGUGAGAGUCCUUGUGAAUUGAGAAAAUCAAAUCCGUAGAUCGGGAGGGAUUUAUCCUUAGUUGGCCGAUUCGGUUUGAAUCUCGAUUAGUCUGAGCCCAUUGAACUUUUUGGAUAUUAGGCGUCCACAUCGGAAAAAAAAAAAAUCUCUGAUGGCUUUGCUCUCAGGGGGUUUUGCUGGCCUCCGCAUUGGUGUUUGUCUGGCCCCCUCUGAUGGAUUGCGGAGCCUGUUAUCUGUCUGUGUUUUACCUUCUCGCCCAGGUGAGUGAAUCAGAAGUAGAAACCAAAGCAGCAUAUGAUGAACUAACUAUCCAUCGAGCUCCCCCCGGCUCAAAGACUGGCAAGUAGGUGAGGCGAAAGGGCUGUGAUGACAUGAGAUGAGUGUGAAGCUAUAACGAAUGAUAUAGCAGGACAGGGUGGGAGGCAAAGAGAACUGUCCGUAGCUUGGCAUGGCGGCUCCGGGGGUCGUUCCGCAGCCAUGGCGGGGUUCCCAAAAUAGCCUCAUGUCCUUUUCCUCUAUAUGUGCAUGAGAAGGAAAAGAGUACACACUCAGCAGAUCUGAGCCCUCAA